GGUGAACGCUGGCGGCGUGCCUAAGACAUGCAAGUCGAGCGGGGCAGGUUUAUACCUGUUCAGCGGCGGACGGGUGAGUAGCGCGUGGGUGACCUACCCGGAAGAGGCGGACAACCUGGGGAAACCCAGGCUAAUCCGCCAUGUGGUCCUGUCCUGUGGGGCAGGACUAAAGGGUGGAUAGCCCGCUUCCGGAUGGGCCCGCGUCCCAUCAGCUAGUUGGUGGGGUAAAGGCCCACCAAGGCGACGACGGGGAGCCGGUCUGAGAGGAUGGCCGGCCACAGGGGCACUGGGACACGGGCCCCACUCCUACGGGGGGCAGCAGUUAGGAAUCUGCCGCAAUGGACGGAAGUCUGACGGAGCGACGCCGCUUGGAGGAGGAAGCACUUCGGGGUGUAAACUCCUGAACUGGGGACGAAAGCCCUGUGUAGGGGGAUGACGUGACCCAGGUAAUAGCGCCGGCCAACUCCGUG
RNAcentral lists this ribosomal RNA (470 nucleotides) under uncultured bacterium. Its description in RNAcentral is "partial 16S ribosomal RNA". It matches the Rfam family "Bacterial small subunit ribosomal RNA", at positions 28 to 507 of the family's 1533-position model. The record is from RNAcentral.